This 146-nucleotide microRNA precursor is filed under the name Gossypium hirsutum (cotton). RNAcentral's name for it is "MIR7502 microRNA precursor family". It matches the Rfam family "MIR7502 microRNA precursor family". The record is from Rfam by way of RNAcentral. Lineage: Eukaryota; Viridiplantae; Streptophyta; Magnoliopsida; Malvales; Malvaceae.
UGUUAAAAAUUUCAUCUGAUUAUAUUGUUAAAAACUAGUGUGGCAGUCGAAAUAACCAGACCUUGAUACGUGACAUGCUAUGUGUACAUUAUGCUGAUAAUAUAAAGAUUAAUUUUUAACAAUAGAAAUAAAUAAUUUUUUUAACA